This 497-nucleotide ribosomal RNA is filed under the name uncultured bacterium. Its description in RNAcentral is "partial 16S ribosomal RNA". It matches the Rfam family "Bacterial small subunit ribosomal RNA", at positions 28 to 507 of the family's 1533-position model. The record is from RNAcentral.
GAUGAACGCUGGCGGCGUGCCUAAUACAUGCAAGUCGAGCGAACGGACGAGAAGCUUGCUUCUCUGAUGUUAGCGGCGGACGGGUGAGUAACACGUGGAUAACCUACCUAUAAGACUGGGAUAACUUCGGGAAACCGGAGCUAAUACCGGAUAAUAUUUUGAACCGCAUGGUUCAAAAGUGAAAGACGGUCUUGCUGUCACUUAUAGAUGCAUCCGCGCUGCAUUAGCUAGUUGGUAAGGUAACGGCUUACCAAGGCAACGAUGCAUAGCCGACCUGAGAGGGUGAUCGGCCACACUGGAACUGAGACACGGUCCAGACUCCUACGGGAGGCAGCAGUAGGGAAUCUUCCGCAACGGGCGAAAGCCUGACGGAGCAACGCCGCGUGAGUGAUGAAGGUCUUCGGAUCGUAAAACUCUGUUAUUAGGGAAGAACAUAUGUGUAAGUAACUGUGCACAUCUUGACGGUACCUAAUCAGAAAGCCACGGCUAACUACGUG